AACGAACGCUGGCGGCAGGCCUAACACAUGCAAGUCGAACGCCGUAGCAAUACGGAGUGGCAGACGGGUGAGUAACACGUGGGAACGUACCCUUCGGUUCGGGAUAACUCAGGGAAACUUGAGCUAAUACCGGAUACGUCCGAGAGGAGAAAGAUUUAUUGCCGAGGGAUCGGCCCGCGUCUGAUUAGCUUGUUGGUGAGGUAACGGCUCACCAAGGCGACGAUCAGUAGCUGGUCNGAGAGGAUGAUCAGCCACAUUGGGACUGAGACACGGCCCAAACUCCUACGGGAGGCAGCAGUGGGGAAUAUUGGACAAUGGGCGCAAGCCUGAUCCAGCCAUGCCGCGUGAGUGAUGAAGG
RNAcentral lists this ribosomal RNA (358 nucleotides) under uncultured bacterium. RNAcentral's name for it is "bacterial SSU rRNA". It matches the Rfam family "Bacterial small subunit ribosomal RNA", at positions 29 to 414 of the family's 1533-position model. The record is from RNAcentral.